Molecule: ribosomal RNA, 175 nt
Filed under: uncultured bacterium
Lineage: Bacteria
Description: partial 16S ribosomal RNA
Rfam family: Bacterial small subunit ribosomal RNA
Source: RNAcentral
UGAGUAACAUGACCUUCGGCGGGGGAUAGCCGGCCCAACGGCCGGGUAAUACCGCGUACGACCACAUGGGGACAUCCCUGAGUGGUGAAAGCAGCAAUGCGCCGAUGGAGUGCCUCGCGGCCUAUCAGCUAGUUGGUGAGGUAACGGCUCACCAAGGCAACGACGGGUAGCUGGU